Molecule: regulatory RNA element, 48 nt
Organism: Pseudomonas syringae pv. tomato str. DC3000
Lineage: Bacteria; Pseudomonadati; Pseudomonadota; Gammaproteobacteria; Pseudomonadales; Pseudomonadaceae
Rfam family: Guanidine-II riboswitch aptamer (mini-ykkC)
About the family: Simpler in structure and has fewer highly conserved nucleotide positions than the ykkC-yxkD leader. Despite this each of its two stem-loop structures directly bind free guanidine. Therefore, mini-ykkC RNA motif represents a distinct class of guanidine-sensing RNAs.
Source: Rfam
AGCAACGGACGACCGUUGCGUAGAUAGAUCAAUAGCGGGACGGCCCGC